AUGUGUAUGUAUAGGAAUACAUACAUGGCAAGAAGGGAUUUUACAAUACCUAGGACCUGCACAGGAAUGCUUGAUGAAAUGCUUUAUAAUAUUUUAGCACUGUUUUUCGGCAGUCCUUGUGGUAGGAAAGUGAUCCAUUCUUCGAAAACUCAUCUACUACUACUCACCAAAUCACAUCGUUCCAUAUAUGGACUAACUGAGAAUCUGGGAUUUUUCCAUCAAUCGCACUGCCUUUCCAUCCCCUCCAUCAACAAGCGAUCAAUCUUCCACAUCGCAAAAAAAAGAAGAGAGUCAAUCUUCCAAAUCACUUCAUUCCAUAUAUGGACUAACUUGGAAUCUGGGAUUCCAUCGAUCGCGCUGCCUACAUGCCCCUCCAACAAGCGAUCAAUCUCAGCACAGAAGGCUCUUUGUUUUCUUGACGCUCGUGGCUUUUGUAGCAAAUUCUAUUUGUUCUUCGCCACUUUGGGUUGUGGGGCUUACUUCCUAGCCCCGCCUGCUUGUUGUACCACCGCCCACUUUGUGGCUCUAGCGCCAGCGCCAGCCUGGGACAUCUCUCUAUCCGGGCCGGCAUACCGGGAUGUUGCAGGGCCGCCGUCACCUCGAGAAGGGGCGAGGAGUCCAUCGUAUGCCCAGUUGAUGUCCCUGGGUACUCACUGUGGCACGAAGAGUCCCUCACCGUUGUCCUCUUCGACCAGCAUAACAACGACAGGUCAGCCUGUGCAGACUACAAACUGA
RNAcentral lists this ribosomal RNA (735 nucleotides) under Triticum aestivum (bread wheat). Its description in RNAcentral is "partial small subunit ribosomal RNA". Lineage: Eukaryota; Viridiplantae; Streptophyta; Magnoliopsida; Poales; Poaceae. The record is from RNAcentral.